Molecule: long non-coding RNA, 268 nt
Organism: Macaca mulatta (Rhesus monkey)
Lineage: Eukaryota; Metazoa; Chordata; Mammalia; Primates; Cercopithecidae
Source: RefSeq, a predicted model, not a curated record
CUGAGCAGAGGCUGGUCCGCCUACAAAGUUAAAGCAACUUUAACUGAACUGUCUUGCAAAGCAGUCCCAGGAUCUGUUCAUACUCUCUGGACAUUAAUUGCUCUCUGUGAUGAAAAACCGAGGCUGAGAGAUGAAGAGGAGCCUCUACGGCCACAAGGCCCCUGCUCCACAUAAAUCUGACCCAUUUAUCCCUGGAAGAUACAGCAGCAGCCCCCAGUCUGCGGUUGAAUGAACCAUGGUCCAAAGACAGGUCAGUAUGGUACAGUCA